This 460-nucleotide ribosomal RNA is filed under the name uncultured bacterium. RNAcentral describes it as "partial 16S ribosomal RNA". It matches the Rfam family "Bacterial small subunit ribosomal RNA", at positions 338 to 795 of the family's 1533-position model. The record is from RNAcentral.
CCUACGGGGGGCAGCAGUGAGGAAUAUUGGUCAAUGGGCGCGAGCCUGAACCAGCCAAGUAGCGUGAAGGAUGACUGCCCUACGGGUUGUAAACUUCUUUUAUAAAGGAAUAAAGUGAGGCACGCGUGCCUGUUUGUAUGUACUUUAUGAAUAAGGAUCGGCUAACUCCGUGCCAGCAGCCGCGGUAAUACGGAGGAUUCGAGCGUUAUCCGGAUUUAUUGGGUUUAAAGGGAGCGUAGAUGGGUUGUUAAGUCAGUUGUGAAAGUUUGGGGCUCAACCGUAAAAUUGCAUUUGAUACUGGCAGUCUUGAGUGCAGUUGAGGUAGGCGGAAUGCGUGGUGUAGCGGUGAAAUGCUUAGAGAUCACGAAGAACUCCGAUUGCGAAGGCAGCUUACUAAACUGCCACUGACAUUGAGGCACGAAAGUGUGGGUAUCAAACAGGAUUAGAUACCCCGGUAGUC